Molecule: unclassified non-coding RNA, 355 nt
Filed under: soil metagenome
Description: partial contains 5.8S ribosomal RNA, internal transcribed spacer 2, and large subunit ribosomal RNA
Rfam family: 5.8S ribosomal RNA (bases 1-120)
Source: RNAcentral
GAUGAAGAACGUAGCGAAAUGCGAUAAGUAGUGUGAAUUGCAGAAUUCGGUGAAUCAUCGAAUCUUUGAACGCACAUUGCGCCUUCUAGUAUUCUGGGAGGCAUGCCUGUUUGAGCGUCAUUAAACCUCUCUCAAGUAUGAUUACUUGGAUGUGAAGGAAGAGUACCUUAAACUUAAGGAGUGUUCUCCUUUGAAAUUGAUUAGCAGAUGGUAAUGUUAUUAAAUCCCUGAUGUUGUAAGAAAUAACAGUGGUUUUGUAGACUAUUAUCUAGCUUUAAAUUAUAAUUUUUAUUAUGGUUGACCUCAAAUCAGGUAAGGAUACCCGCUGAACUUAAGCAUAUCAAUAAGCGGAGGA